This 79-nucleotide small RNA is filed under the name Flavobacterium cutihirudinis. RNAcentral's name for it is "Flavo-1 RNA". It matches the Rfam family "Flavo-1 RNA". Lineage: Bacteria; Pseudomonadati; Bacteroidota; Flavobacteriia; Flavobacteriales; Flavobacteriaceae. The record is from RNAcentral.
GCCUAGCCCCGAUAGAAGUGGAAAUCCUUUUGCUUUUUCUUUAAAAAGUAAAAGAUUGCAACGUAUAGCGGGACGAGUG